AUGAACGCUGGCGGCGUGCCUAAUACAUGCAAGUCGAGCGAACAGACGAGGAGCUUGCUCCUCUGACGUUAGCGGCGGACGGGUGAGUAACACGUGGAUAACCUACCUAUAAGACUGGGAUAACUUCGGGAAACCGGAGCUAAUACCGGAUAAUAUAUUGAACCGCAUGGUUCAAUAGUGAAAGACGGUUUUGCUGUCACUUAUAGGUGGAUCCGCGCCGCAUUAGCUAGUUGGUAAGGUAACGGCUUACCAAGGCAACGAUGCGUAGCCGACCUGAGAGGGUGAUCGGCCACACUGGAACUGAGACACGGUCCAGACUCCUACGGGAGGCGGCAGUAGGGAAUCUUCCGCAAUGGGCGAAAGCCUGACGGAGCAACGCCGCGUGAGUGAUGAAGGUCUUCGGAUCGUAAAACUCUGUUAUUAGGGAAGAACAAAUGUGUAAGUAACUAUGCACGUCUUGACGGUACCUAAUCAGAAAGCCACGGCUAACUACGUG
RNAcentral lists this ribosomal RNA (496 nucleotides) under uncultured bacterium. RNAcentral's name for it is "partial 16S ribosomal RNA". It matches the Rfam family "Bacterial small subunit ribosomal RNA", at positions 29 to 507 of the family's 1533-position model. The record is from RNAcentral.